UGGGGAAUUUUGCGCAAUGGGCUAACGCCUGACGCAGCAACGCCGCGUGGAGGAUGAAGGUCUUUGGAUUGUAAACUCCUGUCAGCAGGGAAAAAGGGAUGAGUGCUAAUACCAUUCAGACUUGAUUGUACCUGCAGAGGAAGCCCCGGCUAACUCUGUGCCAGCAGCCGCGGUAAUACAGAGGGGGCAAGCGUUAUUCGGAAUUAUUGGGCGUAAAGGGCGCGUAGGCGGCUUUUCAAGUGACGGGUGAAAUCCCUCGGCUUAACCGAGGAACUGCCUGUCAGACUGGAAGGCUUGAGACCGGGAGAGGUGAGUGGAAUUCCCAGUGUAGCGGUGAAAUGCGUAGAUAUUGGGAGGAACACCAGUGGCGAAGGCGGCUCACUGGACCGGAACUGACGCUGAGGCGCGAAAGCGUGGGGAGCAAACAGG
Molecule: ribosomal RNA, 429 nt
Filed under: uncultured bacterium
Lineage: Bacteria
Description: bacterial SSU rRNA
Rfam family: Bacterial small subunit ribosomal RNA
Source: RNAcentral